This 130-nucleotide microRNA precursor is filed under the name Colobus angolensis palliatus. RNAcentral's name for it is "miRNA (ENSCANG00000008618.1)". It matches the Rfam family "mir-1272 microRNA precursor family". The record is from RNAcentral. Lineage: Eukaryota; Metazoa; Chordata; Mammalia; Primates; Cercopithecidae.
CCAGGUCGGAUCUGGGUGUGAUGAUGAUGGCAGCAAAUUCUAAAAACUUGUUCAGUGUCUUUUAUAACAGGAAAGCCGUAAACUUAGAAAUGUAGGCUGCAGCUCAUGUGCUCUGUGGUCUGGGCUGGUA